This 253-nucleotide ribosomal RNA is filed under the name uncultured bacterium. RNAcentral describes it as "partial 16S ribosomal RNA". It matches the Rfam family "Bacterial small subunit ribosomal RNA", at positions 524 to 776 of the family's 1533-position model. The record is from RNAcentral.
UAUGUAGGGGGCAAGCGUUAUCCGGAAUUACUGGGUGUAAAGGGAGCGUAGACGGUAAUGUAAGUCUGGAGUGAAAGGCGGGGGCCCAACCCCCGGACUGCUCUGGAAACUAUGUUACUAGAGUGCAGGAGAGGUAAGCGGAAUUCCUAGUGUAGCGGUGAAAUGCGUAGAUAUUAGGAGGAACACCAGUGGCGAAGGCGGCUUACUGGACUGUAACUGACGUUGAGGCUCGAAAGCGUGGGGAGCAAACAGG